AAUAAGAUAUUGACCUUUAUCCCCGGCUUAGUAUAUAUCUAGGAUUUUGAUUGGUUAACGCACGUCGUUACAAAACCCAUAGCCCCUGGGUGUUGCUAACCCAUAUCCCCGGACGUUGCUAACCAUUGUCCCGGGGAACUUCACGCAAGUUUUCCUUAGUUCCAUGAUUGCUCCUUGUGAAAUAUUGAAUUAUGUAGAUUAUCCAUGAUGUUUUUAAUGAAAUAUUUAAUUCAUUACAAUUUUGUCCUAUUAUGCCGAUCAUUUACACUCAUUUCAUUAAAUGCAUCACUUGACUACCACAUUUUCAAGGAAUGGGACUACUGACCUAGCUAUGCAAAUGACCCACGUUGACGUCACACUAUCUUUGACGUAACUCUCACAACAUUGAGCGCCAAAUUUGACUCAAUCAAGUUUCUCUGUCUCCGUAUUAAAAACGUCUUAUAUUUGACUACCUGUAGGGUUCUACCAAAGGUAGUACCCUACACUCCGUAGAAACUAUGUAAAAUUUCCAAAUUUCAAUAAAACUUUUUUAGAUAAUGAAAAAAACGUUGUUUUCACGUUACACUUUGUACCCGAAUUUCCAUAAAAACUCGCC
Molecule: long non-coding RNA, 595 nt
Filed under: Mytilus galloprovincialis (Mediterranean mussel)
Lineage: Eukaryota; Metazoa; Mollusca; Bivalvia; Mytilida; Mytilidae
Source: RNAcentral